Molecule: ribosomal RNA, 1581 nt
Filed under: Triticum aestivum (bread wheat)
Lineage: Eukaryota; Viridiplantae; Streptophyta; Magnoliopsida; Poales; Poaceae
Description: partial small subunit ribosomal RNA
Source: RNAcentral
AUGGAUUCUGCCUAUAAGCUUGUCGUUCCGGAGCAGUACGACCGAGUCAUUUCUGCCGAGCUCCCAGACAAGCAGAAGUAUCCUGAACUCCAUGCCUUGGUGGUGAAACAUAUGAUGCACGGACCAUGCGGUGUUCUCAAUCCCAAAAAUGUGUGCAUGCAACAGAAUGAGUGCAAGUGCAGAUACCCGCGGCCGUUCAAUGAAAACACGGCACAGGGUAAGGACUCAUACCCUGUUUAUCGUCGUCGAGAUAAUGGUCGGCAGGCUAAGGUCCGGGGUAAAAUGUUGGACAACAGAUGGGUUGUUCCGUAUAACCCUUACCUUCUGCGGAUGUUCAAUUGCCACAUCAACGUUGAGGUUUGCUCCAGCAUAAAGGCCGUCAAAUACCUUUACAAGUACAUAUACAAGGGCCAUGAUAGGGCUUCUUUCAGCAUCGACCAGCCCGACGCCGAUGGUAACAUUGAUGAGAUCAAAAGAUACGUAGACGCGAGGUGGGUUACUCCUCCAGAGGCGAUGUGGAGGAUAUUUGGCUUCCCCUUGUGUGCCAAUGAGCCGCCUGUCCUACAGUUGCCUCUUCAUCUCCCGAAUAUGCACAGGGUGGCAUUCAAUGAGCAAGCUCACUUGACCGACGUAGUCGCCUCUGAGAAAGCUUCCAAAUCCAUGUUGACAGAGUAUUUCAAAGCUAACCAAGACCACCCAUGGGCUAGAAAUAUAUUGUACAAGGAUUUUCCCGGAAGGUUCACAUGGCAGAAGGGUAAGAAGUAUUGGAAAGAGCGGGUGGAGCGUUUUCAGAUAGGUCGAAUUGUGUCUGCCAAUCCUGCCGAGGGGGAGCGAUACUAUCUGCGUGUGCUACUAAACCAUGUUGCUGGCAAAACAUCAUAUGAGGACCUGCUCACCGUGGACGGUAGGCUAUGCAGGAGCUUUAGAGAGGCUGCCGAAAGGUUGGGACUCAUCGAGGCAGAUAACACGCUCGACGACUGUCUCACCGAGGCAGAGCAGUGGGCGAUGCCAUGUUCGCUCAGGAGGCUCUUCGCAACAAUUUUGGUGCACUGUGAGCCAGGCGACAUGCGUGGUUUAUGGGAUAGGCACUUCGAGCAUAUGUAUGAUGACUAUCGGCGAUCACACACGUGCCCGAUUGAGGUGGAACAAAUGGUGUUGCUUGACAUUAGGGGUAUGUUGCAGUCCAUGGGCAAAGACAUAGCUGAUUUCGCUCUUCCAUGCAUUGACGACUCGUUCGACCCAACCGAGGGCGAGGCCAGAGAAGUGAUCGAGGAAUCCAACGUCGAUUUUGACAUCAAUGACACUAAAUUGGCUUCGUCGCUAAACUCAGAGCAGAGGGCUGCAUAUGACGAGAUACUAGCUUCUGUUGAACGCGGUGAUGGGGGUGUGUUCUUUGUUGAUGGCCCGGGAGGUACAGGGAAGACAUUCCUGUACAGGGCGCUGCUCGCCAAGGUUCGAAGCGAGGGAAACAUCGCUAUCGCUACCACGACGUCAGGCGUCGCCGCUUCUAUCAUGCCUGGAGGCAGGACUGCCCACUCGAGGUUCAAGAUCCCAUUGAGCUGCGACGAUGGCGCCUCAUGA